CCACUAUGCUUAGCCCUUAACAUAGACAAUAAAAACACAAUAUUGUCCGCCAGAGAACUACAAGUGAAAAACUAGAAACUCCAAGGACUUGGCGGUGCCCCACAUCAACCUAGAGGAGCCUGUCCUAUAAUCGAUAAUCCACGCUGCACCUUACCAUUUCUAGNCAACUCAGCCUAUAUACCGCCGUCGGAAGCCUACCUUAUGAAAGAAUCAAAGUAAGCAAAAUAGUCAACAACUAAAACGUCAGGUCAAGGUGUAGCACAUGAAAUGGAAGAGAUGGGCUACAUUUUCUAUCUUAGAAAACACGAACAGCACAAUGAAACCUGUACUCAAAGGCGGAUUUAGCAGUAAGACAAAAAAGAAACUUUGCCUUAAACGCGCUCUGGGGCGCGCACACACCGCCCG
This 405-nucleotide ribosomal RNA is filed under the name Psychosaura macrorhyncha. RNAcentral's name for it is "partial 12S ribosomal RNA". It matches the Rfam family "Bacterial small subunit ribosomal RNA", at positions 787 to 1396 of the family's 1533-position model. Lineage: Eukaryota; Metazoa; Chordata; Lepidosauria; Squamata; Scincidae. The record is from RNAcentral.